GACGAACGCUGGCGGCGUGCUUAACACAUGCAAGUCGAACGGUGAACGAGGGAGCUUGCUCCCUCCGGAUCAGUGGCGAACGGGUGAGUAACACGUGAGCAAUCUGCCCCGAACUCUGGGAUAAGCGUUGGAAACGACGUCUAAUACCGGAUACGACGCGGGAGGGCAUCCUCUCCGCGUGGAAAGAACUUCGGUUCGGGAUGAGCUCGCGGCCUAUCAGCUUGUUGGUGGGGUAACGGCUCACCAAGGCGACGACGGGUAGCCGGCCUGAGAGGGUGACCGGCCACACUGGGACUGAGACACGGCCCAGACUCCUACGGGAGGCAGCAGUGGGGAAUAUUGCACAAUGGGCGCAAGCCGGAUGCAGCAACGCCGCGUGAGGGACGACGGCCUUCGGGUUGUAAACCUCUUUUAGCAGGGAAGAAGCGAAAGUGACGGUACCUGCAGAAAAAGCACCGGCUAACUACGUG
This 470-nucleotide ribosomal RNA is filed under the name uncultured bacterium. Its description in RNAcentral is "partial 16S ribosomal RNA". It matches the Rfam family "Bacterial small subunit ribosomal RNA", at positions 28 to 507 of the family's 1533-position model. The record is from RNAcentral.